GUUUCCUUGAGUGCAGUUGAGGCAGGCGGAAUUCGUGGUGUAGCGGUGAAAUGCUUAGAUAUCACGAAGAACCCCGAUUGCGAAGGCAGCUUGCUAAACUGUAACUGACGUUCAUGCUCGAAAGUGUGGGUAUCAAACAGGAUUAGAUACCCUGGUAGUCCACACGGUAAACGAUGGAUACUCGCUGUUGGCGAUAUACUGUCAGCGGCCAAGCGAAAGCAUUAAGUAUCCCACCUGGGGAGUACGCCGGCAACGGUGAAACUACAAAGGAAUUGACGGGGGCCCGCACGAAGCGGAGGGUCGACGCGAAGGAGCGAUCUGGAGCAAAUCCCCAAAAAACCGUCUCAGUUCAGAUUGCAGGCUGCAACUCGCCUGCAUGAAAGGCGGAAUCGCUAGUAAUCGCAGGUCAGCAUACUGCGGUGAAUCCGUUCC
Molecule: ribosomal RNA, 432 nt
Filed under: uncultured bacterium
Lineage: Bacteria
Description: bacterial SSU rRNA
Rfam family: Bacterial small subunit ribosomal RNA
Source: RNAcentral